RNAcentral lists this unclassified non-coding RNA (997 nucleotides) under Hevea brasiliensis (rubber tree). Lineage: Eukaryota; Viridiplantae; Streptophyta; Magnoliopsida; Malpighiales; Euphorbiaceae. The record is from RNAcentral.
UGCUGAGAUGAACAAGAGGUCAUUUAAGUAUGCCUGGGUGCUUGACAAGCUCAAGGCUGAGCGUGAACGUGGUAUUACCAUUGAUAUUGCCCUGUGGAAGUUCGAGACCACCAAGUACUACUGCACUGUCAUUGAUGCUCCUGGACAUCGCGACUUUAUUAAGAACAUGAUUACUGGAACCUCACAGGCUGACUGUGCUGUCCUCAUCAUUGAUUCCACCACUGGUGGUUUUGAAGCUGGUAUUUCCAAGGAUGGUCAAACCCGUGAGCACGCCCUUCUUGCCUUUACCCUUGGUGUCAAACAAAUGAUUUGCUGCUGCAACAAGGUGAUGAUCUAACUGUCUGUUUUUAUGCUUAGAUUUAAUUCUGUAGCAUAACUGCAUUAUGAGAUAUUAUCAUGUCUAUGGCUAAAGGGGAGAUUCUUAUACUGUGAUUGCUUUUUAUUUUACAUUUUUUCUUGAGAAGAAUACACGUUUUAUAAGAACACUCAGGAUUGGGUGAUUUCUAUUUAGGCUAGGGUCUGGUAGUUCUGGGCUCUGCAAAUUGAAAAUUGGGUUUGAUAAUGAAGUAAAUUCUCCUUUUCUGGGUACUUUUUUCUAUUCAGUGAUUUGCUCUGUCGUGUUUUCUCUUUGCUUCCUUUAUUAUAUAUUUGGGUUCUGGAAGAAAAGUUUCCUUUUUGAAACUAUAUAAAUGUUACUUAGUUUUAUGUUGACAAGCAACUGUAUCUUUACUGUUUAUAUUAUGUGUUCAUUAAUCUAAUCUUCAUAAUAUUUUACUUUUCCUUUCUUUAGAUGGAUGCCACCACUCCCAAGUACUCCAAGGCCAGGUAUGAUGAAAUCGUCAAGGAAGUCGCCUCAUACCUUAAGAAAGUAGGGUACAACCCAGAGAAGAUUCCAUUUGUCCCCAUCUCUGGGUUUGAAGGUGACAACAUGAUUCAGAGGUCAACCAACCUCGACUGGUACAAGGGCCCAACUCUUCUUGAAGCUCUGGACCAGAUU